This 465-nucleotide ribosomal RNA is filed under the name Lacerta viridis (green lizard). RNAcentral describes it as "partial 12S ribosomal RNA". It matches the Rfam family "Bacterial small subunit ribosomal RNA", at positions 794 to 1482 of the family's 1533-position model. The record is from RNAcentral. Lineage: Eukaryota; Metazoa; Chordata; Lepidosauria; Squamata; Lacertidae.
GCUAAGCCCUAAACAUUGAUUAGCUACUAUACAACUUCUCCGCCAGAGAACUACAAGUGAAAAACUUGAAACUCAAAGGACUUGACGGUGUCCCAAAUCGGCCUAGAGGAGCCUGUCCUAUAAUCGAUACUCCACGUUUAACCCAACCCCAACUAGCACAACAUCAGCCUAUAUACCGCCGUCGACAGCCUACCCUAUGAGGGUCUAAUAGUAGACUCAAUAGCCCUACCGCUAGCACGUCAGGUCAAGGUGUAGCAAAUGUUGGGGAAGAGAUUGGCUACAUUUUUUAUAGUAAAAAAUACGAAAUGUAUUAUGAAAUCGUACAUGAAGGUGAAUUUAGCAGUAAACUAGAUAAGAGAGUCUAUUUUAACAACGCUCUGGGACGCGUACACACCGCCCGUCACCCUCCUCAAACAACAUAAACUAAACUACUUUUAUAAAUCAAAAAAGUUAAACAGAGGAGGC